Molecule: ribosomal RNA, 497 nt
Filed under: uncultured bacterium
Lineage: Bacteria
Description: partial 16S ribosomal RNA
Rfam family: Bacterial small subunit ribosomal RNA
Source: RNAcentral
GAUGAACGCUGGCGGUGUGCCUAAUACAUGCAAGUCGAACGAAAAGACGCUGAGCUUACUCCGUUGACGUUAGCGGCGGGCGGGUGAGUAACACGUGUAUCACCUACCUCUAAUUCGGGGAUAACUUCGGAAAACCGGAUCUAAUAACGGAUAACAUGUUGAACCGCAGUGGUCAACGGUGAAUGACGGUCUUUGUGUCACGUAUAGAGGGAUACGCGUCGCAUUAUCGGGUUGGUAAGGUAACGGCUUACCAAGGCAACGAUGCGUAGCCGAACUGAGGGGGUGAUCGGCCACACUGGAACUGAGACACGGUCCAGACUACUACGGGAGGCAGCAGUAGGGAAUCUUGCGCAAUGGGCGAAAGCCUGACGGAGCAACGCCGCGUGAGUGAAGAAGGUCUUCGGAUCGUAAAACUCUGUUAUUAGGGAAGAACAAAUGUGUAAGUAACUAUGCACGUUUUGACGGUACCUAAUCAGAAAGCCACGGCUAACUACGUG